This 306-nucleotide long non-coding RNA is filed under the name Elaeis guineensis (African oil palm). RNAcentral's name for it is "long non-coding RNA (EGUI_LNC019165)". Lineage: Eukaryota; Viridiplantae; Streptophyta; Magnoliopsida; Arecales; Arecaceae. The record is from RNAcentral.
GUAUGGUCCCUAACCAUUUUAUUGGGUGAUGCAAUUAUAGAACAUAGGAUUUGGCUGCAUGUCUUCAUCUUAUAAAAAUCACACUUCUAGCUAAGAAGAUAUGUAUUUGUGCAUGACCAGUCCCAAACUAACCUUAACUUGGGCUGGCUCUGGGUCAAGGGCUUAUCCUUUUUGGUCGUUUUGGGUCCAACCUUUUCCCUGGACACUCCAAAAUACCGAGUAGAGAUUUUGUUGAUUAUAUCGGCUCCAAUUGCUUAAAGAUUAUUGUGAUAGCCCAAAAUCCAACCCAACUAAGCCCAGCCCAGC